Molecule: ribosomal RNA, 450 nt
Filed under: uncultured bacterium
Lineage: Bacteria
Description: bacterial SSU rRNA
Rfam family: Bacterial small subunit ribosomal RNA
Source: RNAcentral
AACGAACGCUGGCGGCAUGCCUAACACAUGCAAGUCGAACGCCCUCUUCGGAGGGAGUGGCGCACGGGUGCGUAACGCGUGGGAACCUGCCCUUAGGUUCGGAAUAACUCAGAGAAAUUUGAGCUAAUACCGGAUAAUGUCUUCGGACCAAAGAUUUAUCGCCUUUGGAUGGGCCCGCGUUGGAUUAGCUAGUUGGUGGGGUAAAGGCCUACCAAGGCGACGAUCCAUAGCUGGUCUGAGAGGAUGAUCAGCCACACUGGGACUGAGACACGGCCCAGACUCCUACGGGAGGCAGCAGUGGGGAAUAUUGGACAAUGGGCGAAAGCCUGAUCCAGCAAUGCCGCGUGAGUGAUGAAGGCCUUAGGGUUGUAAAGCUCUUUUACUGGGGAUGAUAAUGACAGUACCUGGAGAAUAAGCCCCGGCUAACUUCGUGCCAGCAGCCGCGGUAAU